GCUUACGACCAUACCCCGUUGAGAACACGACAUCCCGUCCGAUCUGUCAAGUUAAGCAACGGUGUACUUGUAUCGUAGCAGUUAGACCCGUUUUUGAAAUAUCAAACAAGUUGAAAAAU
RNAcentral lists this ribosomal RNA (119 nucleotides) under Pristionchus pacificus. The record is from RNAcentral. Lineage: Eukaryota; Metazoa; Nematoda; Chromadorea; Rhabditida; Neodiplogasteridae.